GGCCGCAGUAUUUUGACUGUGCAAAGGUAGCAUAAUCAUUAGUCUUUUAAUUGAGGGCUAGUAUGAAUGGUUGGACGAGGUAAAUUCUGUUUUAUGUUAAUUAAAUUGAAUUUAGGUUUUAAGUAAAAAAACUUAAAUAUUAUUAAGGGACGAGAAGACCCUAUAGAGUUUAAUAUUUAUAAUAGUUAAUUGAGUUAAAAAUUAAUUUUUGGUUUCUAUAAAGAAUAUUUAAUUGGGGUGAUUAGAAAAUAAAGUUAACUUUUCUUUAAUAUAAAUAUUUUAAUUAAUUAAAUGAUCCGUUUAUAAUGAUUAAAAGAUUAAAUUACCUUAGGGAUAACAGCAUAA
This 345-nucleotide ribosomal RNA is filed under the name Tamolanica denticulata. RNAcentral's name for it is "partial 16S ribosomal RNA". The record is from RNAcentral. Lineage: Eukaryota; Metazoa; Arthropoda; Insecta; Mantodea; Mantidae.